This 1243-nucleotide long non-coding RNA is filed under the name Linum usitatissimum (flax). Its description in RNAcentral is "long non-coding RNA (LUSI_LNC005290)". Lineage: Eukaryota; Viridiplantae; Streptophyta; Magnoliopsida; Malpighiales; Linaceae. The record is from RNAcentral.
UGGACAUGGUGAAACUACUGCAAUCCUGAAAUCCAAACAGCUCCCCCGUAAGAGCGUGGCGGAACCCACACGUCAGUAGGGGGCGCUAGCGGGACGUUACGAUAGUCGUGCCACGAGUACCAUCAUCUGAUAGAAGCACUCCCAUCUGUACAAUUAAAAGCUUUCGCCUUCAUUUCCCUUUCUUACAAUGAGAAAACCGUAUCCAAUUCACCUUUCCUCCUUAUUUAAUCCUUCUCAUGUAUUUCCUUCGCCCACAGAAUUUUUCUGGACCAGAUCCGCCUUCUCCUCCGCUGUAGUCCACCACUAGUCUUGGCACCCGGAAUAUCUAUUUCGGCGCCGUUCCAACGUCUGUUCCGUUGGGAAUCGAAUCAGGUGCGUUGACCUUGGGUUAAAAUCUGAAGUUUGUGUAGCACAUCUUACAUCUGUCGAUCACUGAUUUAAUAUAGAUCGUUCAGAAAACGUAUUUCAUCUACUUCUUCUUCUCCGACGAGUCCGAUCGGAUUACUCUCCUGCUCCCGAUUCCCACUUCCCGAGUUCGGUAAUUGGGCUCGAAAUUGGCCGAUAUUUGGUGGGCUAUAGUAUUGGGCCAUGGUUGUGUAAAUAAAUACUGAAUACAGGUUUGGUUUUUGCAGGUGUAGCAAGAAGCCGAAUAGAAGAAAGAAGGAAGGAAGGGAUGGGGUUUGUGUUCGUGAUAUCGGUGCCGAUGAUACUGUUUAUAUUGAUAGUGGGGCUGGCGUGCUACCUUCUUGGAAGGAAUCGAGGAAGAAGUCAAGCUUCUUCUACUGUUCCUCAGGUUUAUGGGGCUCCAGCCCCGCCUCCAGAAGCUAAGCCUUGAUUCGAUCUCUGUCUGCCUACUCAACGCGAUCCCACCAAAGAUUUAUAGAAUUAUAUAUUACCGUCUGCUGUGAACCCGCCGAAAUGUCGAAGCAGACGAAGCUUGUGUAUCUUCUGCUAAAUUUUUGAUUUGGUUACUAACAUACUAGUGUAUAUUUGUAUAUCAUAAGCCUAUUUUAUAUUAUAAGCAUAUUCGAACAUUUUUUAAAAUAUAAAAAAUUGUUAAAAUAUUUUAAAAAUGUAUGUUAUUAAAAUUUUUAUUUUAUUUUUUGAAUGGUUGUUGAAUUAUAUUAAUGUUUAAUGUAGCAAAUUGGAUAUACAAAAUCACGUAACCAAUUAGGAAUAGCAAUACCCGAAAAAGGCGUUGCUAAGAAAUGCGAGCGACGAGCUAACUUGUGGGCUGCUCGAU